This 1518-nucleotide unclassified non-coding RNA is filed under the name Bombus terrestris (buff-tailed bumblebee). RNAcentral's name for it is "misc RNA ENSBTSG00005028567.1". The record is from RNAcentral. Lineage: Eukaryota; Metazoa; Arthropoda; Insecta; Hymenoptera; Apidae.
CAAUCAUUGCGUGAAUUGUCCACGUGUGCAACCUUAAAAGUCAAAUGCGAUACGCGCUAACGUAAAUAACACGAUAAGUCGACAUAGUAUAACAAACGUUUCUUUCGUUGUGUUCGACAAGUAAAACGUAGCUCAAAAAGUAGAACGCGGCUAAGUAUCCUUAAAAAGUACUAUAAUGAAGAUAAACAAGCCUAAAGGAGAGAGCCAGUCGCAAAAUAUUGAGAUUGACCAUUCUUAUUCUAAAUCAUAAUAUUUAUCACUUACGACGAAGAUUAAUAUUCUUUCAACAUUACUUCGAUAUGCAAGUGCAAAAGCAUUUUUUUCACUUUUUCGUUAUUUUUUAUACUGAUCAUUCUAUACUGAUUAAACCUUUUAGAAGCAACAGCCCUAUCACAGUGUGGCUCGGAGAUGAAGGCUAUUUCUUUCUCCUUAUGCGGACCAGACUUUAUAAAACAGACUCUAUUUGUUUAAUUUCCUUCUCGGGUGGUUCUUGUGGAGAUGGUGCAGUUUCUAUGAUUUCAGGAAUAUCUUCUUCGUUCUCUUCUUCGAUAUCUUCAUCGAUUGGAGUCAAUGUAUCUAAUAUCACAGGCUGGGUCUGUAAUAGAAUUAUUCUUACUCGUUAAUUUCCAUUACUCUAAAUAAUGUUUAUUACUUGUUACUAUAUAUCUACCUGCGGCGUUGUGCACCGUUUCAUAGCUGGCGCCAUGAAACUAGUAACCGUGCUUAUAAGGAAGAAAAAUCCUGCCAUAAAGAAUGGGAUACUGUAGCUUUGUGUUGCGUCAUAAACGGCACCCGCCAAAGGUGAACCAAUAAUAGCUGCAGCUCCUCUAAAUAAGAUUAAAAGACCAAAUGCAUUGGUCAAUUUGUCUAGCCCUAAGAGAUCCACCAAAAUAAUCGACGUCAAAGAAAUGUAUCCAGCUGAAAUAUUACACAAACAUAUAAUAUUGACGCACAUAAUGAGAUCCAUAAUAACAUUUAUUAAUUUCAAUACUUACAUAUAGCUAUACCGAAAAGAAUGCUCAUAAUGAUAUAAGCAGGAUAAGAAUGGCAGAACGGUAUCGCAGCUACAGCAACUGUCGAUAUAAUUAAGCAGAUGUUGUUCAAUAAUAGUGAAUCUACUUGUGGAAAAUCCGCGAUAUAUCCACAAGCUACACGGCCCAGAGUAUUAGUAAUUCCAAUUAUAGAUACUAAAUAUGAUGCAAGAGUCUUGUCAAUAUUCUAAAAACAAUUAACAUUGAAAAACUGAUCAUACAACAAACAAUAUGUAGUAAAAAGAAUAUCCUAUAAUCUUUAACUUACAUCUAAGACCGCAGCGUCUAAUAAAUAUACAAACGGCACGUAUAAUCCAGCCAUUCCAAAUACAUUACUGAUACCAAUUAAAAGAAACACUGGAUCCUUUAGUAAAGAUAGAUCCAUCAUCGUUGACAAAGCUUCUUUAAACGAUUCAGGUAAUACCAAACAGGGACAUAGAGGUUCUGUAACAUUUACUAUGUUUUAAUAAAUGUUUAUGAAUAGUUA